Molecule: long non-coding RNA, 520 nt
Organism: Neopsephotus bourkii (Bourke's parrot)
Lineage: Eukaryota; Metazoa; Chordata; Aves; Psittaciformes; Psittacidae
Exons: 3
Source: RefSeq, a predicted model, not a curated record
GAAGCAGCUGUGAGGAGGCAAUAGAAGCUUUAACCUGACUAAAUGAAGCUCGUGUUUGUUGGGAGAGUUGCUAACGGGCUGACAGUAAGCAGGAGAAAAAGAAACCAACCCUAUCUCCAGUUCAGCCCAGCAGGACAAGAGGUUUCCUUAGUCCCACCCACAAAGCACAGGGAUGUGUUAUAUAUAGGGCCAAAGGACCUAGUACCGAGGUCUAAUUUGAUUAGAGUUUUUCUCAGGAAAGGAAAGCUAUAGUUGAACAUUGAAGACCUUAAAUUUCAGCUACCUAUGGAUGUAUCAGUGUUGCAUGAGUAAAAAGGAUGUUAAGUAGCCUGACUUCAAACAUUGAGCAAAAAAGCUUUCUCCUUCAACACAGGCAAGUUCUCUGAUUCCCAGGCAACUAUUUAAAGACAAUUUUCUUUGGGAAGAUUCUUUGCCUGUAGCAGAAGAGUGGCUCUCACCCCAGGUGAGACACCCUGACAGCACCACCCAAGUGCUCUCUGUGAAUAAAGGUGCUAGCUCU